Molecule: ribosomal RNA, 414 nt
Filed under: uncultured bacterium
Lineage: Bacteria
Description: bacterial SSU rRNA
Rfam family: Bacterial small subunit ribosomal RNA
Source: RNAcentral
GUGCCAGCAGCCGCGGUAAUACGUAGGGUGCAAGCGUUAUCCGGAAUUAUUGGGCGUAAAGAGCUCGUAGGCGGUUUGUCGCGUCUGUCGUGAAAGUCCGGGGCUCAACUCCGGAUCUGCGGUGGGUACGGGCAGACUAGAGUGAUGUAGGGGAGACUGGAAUUCCUGGUGUAGCGGUGGAAUGCGCAGAUAUCAGGAGGAACACCGAUGGCGAAGGCAGGUCUCUGGGCAUUAACUGACGCUGAGGAGCGAAAGCAUGGGGAGCGAACAGGAUUAGAUACCCUGGUAGUCCAUGCCGUAAACGUUGGGCACUAGGUGUGGGGGACAUUCCACGUUUUCCGCGCCGUAGCUAACGCAUUAAGUGCCCCGCCUGGGGAGUACGGCCGCAAGGCUAAAACUCAAAGGAAUUGACGG